ACUUCUCACAAAACCUUUUGGUUUCUGUUGAUGUUGGGAACUGCGACCCCUCGUGGGACGCUUUCCUCAAAUGCAUUGGUGCGGCCCGCCGCCCGGUAACACAACGUUCUAGGUUCGUCCAACUCGUUGCUCGCCGGUGCAAUCUUGGUGCUGCACCUUAAGCCCGCCCUGUGCCUUGUGCACUUGGCUAACUUCAUU
Molecule: unclassified non-coding RNA, 198 nt
Filed under: Taphrina betulina
Lineage: Eukaryota; Fungi; Ascomycota; Taphrinomycetes; Taphrinales; Taphrinaceae
Description: partial internal transcribed spacer 2
Source: RNAcentral